This 179-nucleotide unclassified non-coding RNA is filed under the name Panicum capillare (witchgrass). Its description in RNAcentral is "sequence contains 5.8S rRNA gene and ITS2". Lineage: Eukaryota; Viridiplantae; Streptophyta; Magnoliopsida; Poales; Poaceae. The record is from RNAcentral.
GGCGCUACGGUCGUGAAUGGGUCCUUUAGGCCAAGGAGCUAGCUGCGUGCCNGGACACUACACCNAGAACAACUUAUGUCGCCCACCACAUGCAGGUGCCCGACACAGUAUGCCGGCAGCCCCAACUUCAGCCCACCACNCCAUGAGGCACGGGGAGCCAAACACCACGUCCGUACCCA